CCCAGGUAGAGGUAGAUGCCAUACAUUUGA
RNAcentral lists this non-coding RNA (30 nucleotides) under Homo sapiens (human). The record is from RNAcentral. Lineage: Eukaryota; Metazoa; Chordata; Mammalia; Primates; Hominidae.